This 889-nucleotide ribosomal RNA is filed under the name uncultured bacterium. Its description in RNAcentral is "bacterial SSU rRNA". It matches the Rfam family "Bacterial small subunit ribosomal RNA", at positions 28 to 896 of the family's 1533-position model. The record is from RNAcentral.
AAUCAACGCUGGCGGCGUGCCUAACACAUGCAAGUCGAACGCGAAAGGGGCUUCGGUCCUGAGUAGAGUGGCGAACGGGUGAGUAACGCGUGGGUGAUCUACCUUUGAGUGGGGGAUAACGUUCCGAAAGGAGCGCUAAUACCGCAUGAUGUUCUGGGUUUAAAGACCUGGAAACCAAAGCCGGGGACCGCAAGGCCUGGCGCUUGAAGAGGAGCCCGCGUCCGAUUAGCUAGUUGGCGGGGUAACGGCCCACCAAGGCGACGAUCGGUAGCCGGCCUGAGAGGGCGGACGGCCACACUGGAACUGAGACACGGUCCAGACUCCUACGGGAGGCAGCAGUGGGGAAUUGUUCACAAUGGGCGCAAGCCUGAUGACGCAACGCCGCGUGGGGGAUGAAGGUCUUCGGAUUGUAAACCCCUGUCGAACGGGACGAAAGACCCGGGAGCUAAUCAUCCCGGGAGUGACGGUACCGUUAAAGGAAGCCACGGCUAACUCUGUGCCAGCAGCCGCGGUAACACAGAGGUGGCAAGCGUUGUUCGGAAUUACUGGGCGUAAAGGGCGCGUAGGCGGCCAUCUAAGUCAGACGUGAAAUCCCCCGGCUUAACCUGGGAACUGCGUCUGAUACUGGACGGCUUGAGUAUGGGAGAGGGAUGUAGAAUUCCAGGUGUAGCGGUGAAAUGCGUAGAUAUCUGGAGGAAUACCGGUGGCGAAGGCGGCAUCCUGGACCAUUACUGACGCUGAUGCGCGAAAGCUAGGGGAGCAAACGGGAUUAGAUACCCCGGUAGUCCUAGCCCUAAACGAUGAAUGCUUGGUGUGGCGGGUAUCGAUCCCUGCCGUGCCGAAGCUAACGCAUUAAGCAUUCCGCCUGGGGAGUACGGUCGCAAGGCUG